CCUACGGGUGGCAGCAGUGAGGAAUAUUGGUCAAUGGACGCAAGUCUGAACCAGCCAUGCCGCGUGCAGGAAGACGGCUCUAUGAGUUGUAAACUUCUUUUGUACGGGGGUAAACGCAGAUACGUGUAUCUGUCUGAAAGUAUCGUACGAAUAAGGAUCGGCUAACUCCGGGCCAGCAGCCGCGGUUAUCAGGAGGGUUCAAGCGUUUACCGGAUUUAUUGGGGUUAAAGGGUGCGGUGGGGGUCGUGUCAGGUCGGCGUGAAAUCCCGGGGCUCCACUCCGGAACUGCCGUUGAUACUGGCCGGCUGGAGAGGAGUUGCGGUAGGCGGAAUGUAUGGUGGAGCGGUGAAAUGCAUAGAGAUCAUGCAGAACACCGAUUGCGAAGGCAGCAUACCGGGGUACUUCUGACGUUGAAGCACGAAAGCGUGGGGAGCGAACAGGAGUAGAUACCCGGGUAGUC
RNAcentral lists this ribosomal RNA (460 nucleotides) under uncultured bacterium. Its description in RNAcentral is "partial 16S ribosomal RNA". It matches the Rfam family "Bacterial small subunit ribosomal RNA", at positions 338 to 795 of the family's 1533-position model. The record is from RNAcentral.